This 254-nucleotide ribosomal RNA is filed under the name uncultured bacterium. RNAcentral describes it as "partial 16S ribosomal RNA". It matches the Rfam family "Bacterial small subunit ribosomal RNA", at positions 524 to 776 of the family's 1533-position model. The record is from RNAcentral.
UACGGGGGGAGCAAGCGUUGUUCGGAUUUACUGGGCGUAAAGGGCGCGUAGGCGGCCAGUGCAAGUCAGUUGUGAAAUCUCCGAGCUUAACUCGGAAAGGUCAACUGAUACUGCUCGGCUAGAGUGCGGAAGGGGCAACUGGAAUUCUUGGUGUAGCGGUGAAAUGCGUAGAUAUCAAGAGGAACACCUGCGGCGAAGGCGGGUUGCUGGGCCGACACUGACGCUGAGGAGCGAAAGCGUGGGGAGCGAACAGG